Amphiprion ocellaris (clown anemonefish) is the source of this 565-nucleotide long non-coding RNA. The record is from Ensembl. NCBI's taxonomy places the organism in Eukaryota, Metazoa, Chordata, Actinopteri, Pomacentridae.
AGACGAUGGUUCACCUGCUGCUCGGUCUGUGGCUUUCUGUCAGAUUCAGAGUAAUAGAAGAGUCGGAGAAAGCUGAGAGCGACGAGUCGAAACACUCAGGAGACACACAGGAGAGUUUGGGAGGCGAUGCAGCAGUAUCAAGCCGAAGACAAGAGGAUAUGAACUAGACGACAUAUGAGGAUGCUCUCUGAUGAGACUUCAUGGGAUUUACCUGAAGCAGCAGCACAUGAGCCUGCAGUGGCACAAGGUGUAGAGAAGGAGGACAGAGAUGUACAGGAUGCACUGAUGCACUACGUGUCAUGUAAAAGUUAUUCUUCUUGUUAUACUUCUGUUUUUCUGUCCCCGGACACUAUUGUUUUCUUUAUAAUAUAAAUAAUAUAAUGUAUAAUGUGUCUCUUAAGAUGCUGUCCUAGUUUUCUCAAAAAAUUUAGCUUUUUUCCACUUUUUCUGUUUUUCUACAGUAGAAGAGUCAACACACACACACAUUUCAGCCUGAUGGAACAGUCCACCUUCCAUCAAUUAAUCAUCAGCCCUUUCAUCUUUAAUUAAACUCACCGUCUUUAAA